Rhipicephalus sanguineus (brown dog tick) is the source of this 275-nucleotide long non-coding RNA. RefSeq lists it as uncharacterized. The record is from RefSeq and is a predicted model, not a curated record. Lineage: Eukaryota; Metazoa; Arthropoda; Arachnida; Ixodida; Ixodidae. The transcript has 3 exons.
AUUCAGAAGAAUACGAAAGAUGGAACUUCGGCUGCAUCAUCUUGUAUUGCUUAGUAUCCUUUUGUAUUGCAAAUGCCAAGGUGAUGAGGACAGUGAGACAAGUGAUGCAAGCGUGAAAGUGAUACACGUAAAAAAGUUACUGAAUGGGACUGACCCACUAAUUGUCCUUUUGGGAAAUGAGGGACAAAUAAAUCACCCCAUCUGCUGGUGGUCUGUGAAGACAAUUAAUCUCGAACGUGGAUUUCGACAUAAUUUAACAUACUUCAGGAAGGAUA